This 192-nucleotide microRNA precursor is filed under the name Sorghum bicolor (sorghum). RNAcentral's name for it is "MIR6217 microRNA precursor family". It matches the Rfam family "MIR6217 microRNA precursor family". Lineage: Eukaryota; Viridiplantae; Streptophyta; Magnoliopsida; Poales; Poaceae. The record is from Rfam by way of RNAcentral.
UGGCUACAAAAUAACUUAUUUUGUAGCCACUUUGAAUUACGAUAAUUACUAUAUUAAUUUACAAGAUUAUAGUAACUCCUUACCAACAUUACGGUAAAUAUCCCCAUGUGUUAAAGUAACCCAACUAUCGUAAAUUAGUAUAUAAAAUUAUUGUAAAUGGAGAUGGCUAUAGAAUAACAUAUUUUGUAGCUA